Molecule: long non-coding RNA, 203 nt
Filed under: Elaeis guineensis (African oil palm)
Lineage: Eukaryota; Viridiplantae; Streptophyta; Magnoliopsida; Arecales; Arecaceae
Description: long non-coding RNA (EGUI_LNC026244)
Source: RNAcentral
ACAAACUCCUACAUUAUGAUGAAGUCCUUAGAACUACUUAGAUCGAUAAAAGAGAAUUUAUCGUAUAGUUCUUAAAUUGAUUCGCAACCAAACGAUACGCUAUUACUAGGACGAUAGCGAUAUCAAGUGUAGAUCGUUGUGUGUCAUAUGCAUUCGUUGUCCUCGUAACCAAAUAGUAUGAAAAUAUUAGUAUGACAUGCAGA